CCUACGGGUGGCAGCAGUGGGGAAUAUUGCACAAUGGGGGAAACCCUGAUGCAGCGACGCCGCGUGAAGGAAGAAGUAUUUCGGUAUGUAAACUUCUAUCAGCAGGGAAGAAAAUGACGGUACCUGAUUAAGAAGCCCCGGCUAACUACGUGCCAGCAGCCGCGGUAAUACGUAGGGGGCAAGCGUUAUCCGGAUUUACUGGGUGUAAAGGGAGCGUAGGCGGCUUAGCAAGUCAGAAGUGAAAGCCCGGGGCUCAACCCCGGGACUGCUUUUGAAACUGUUCAGCUAGAGUGCAGGAGAGGUAAGUGGAAUUCCUAGUGUAGCGGUGAAAUGCGUAGAUAUUAGGAGGAACACCAGUGGCGAAGGCGGCUUGCUGGACUGUAAAUGACGCUGAGGCUCGAAAGCGUGGGGAGCAAACAGGAUUAGAUACCCUGGUAGUC
RNAcentral lists this ribosomal RNA (440 nucleotides) under uncultured bacterium. RNAcentral's name for it is "partial 16S ribosomal RNA". It matches the Rfam family "Bacterial small subunit ribosomal RNA", at positions 338 to 795 of the family's 1533-position model. The record is from RNAcentral.